GUAGAAUUGGAAGUUUAAUUUCCAAACAAAUAAAAGAUAAGCAGCAUCGCAGCAACAUUACAACAAUAAGAUGUCAAGAUCUAUUCUUCUGAUCAAAUUCGCAUUAUCACAAUUAUCAUUUUAUCUAUAAUUAUUCUACCUUAAUAUCUUGAUAUUGAGCAGAUAUAAGGCACUUCUUAGUGUUGUUUCGUUGUUGAUUUAAGGUUGCUUAGGAGCUGCUGAUUUGUCAUAUAUGAGGCUGUUCAGGUAGUUCCGGAAGAAGAAAUUAGUGUGAUUGAGUUGAAAGAUUUGUUAGAGCUUGAAGUUGACUUUUGCAAGACUUGAAAGUAUUAGGUCAUUCUUGGAUGAAUGGCUACUUCGGUUUAGAGGCUUAGAAAUCCCUCUCCUUUUGGCUCUUGAUACAUUUUGUCUUGAUGGUCUUGUUUCUGUUAUAAUUGUGCAAAUGGUCAAGUAAAAGUUUUUGGGAAGGUUGUAAAUUGACUUUUGGGCGAGAAUUAUGUCAAAAUGGGUAAAACGACCCAUUUGAUGGUCUCCAUGGGAUUUGAAACAAGUUAUGUUGUAAUUGUGUUCGAAAUGUGUCUAUAAUGUUGUUAGUAACUUCUGGAAUGUAGAUUGUGAAGUUCAUCGUGAUAUGAUAAGGUUGCAAGUUGGCUCAA
Molecule: long non-coding RNA, 656 nt
Organism: Erigeron canadensis
Lineage: Eukaryota; Viridiplantae; Streptophyta; Magnoliopsida; Asterales; Asteraceae
Exons: 3
Source: RefSeq, a predicted model, not a curated record